Molecule: ribosomal RNA, 254 nt
Filed under: uncultured bacterium
Lineage: Bacteria
Description: partial 16S ribosomal RNA
Rfam family: Bacterial small subunit ribosomal RNA
Source: RNAcentral
UACGGAGGGGGCUAGCGUUGUUCGGAAUUACUGGGCGUAAAGGGCGCGUAGGCGGUGCGAUCAGUCAGGCGUGAAAGGCCCGGGCUCAACCCGGGGACUGCGCUUGAUACUGUUGCGCUGUGAGUCCGGGAGAGGAUGGCGGAAUUCCCAGUGUAGAGGUGAAAUGCGUAGAUAUCAGGAGGAACACCUGCGGUGUAGACGGCUUUCUGGACCAUUGUUGACGCUGAGACACGAAAGCGUGGGUAGCAAACAGG